UUUUAUUAGUUAGGUUCGCUUGGAUGAUUUUUUUUUUUUUCCCCAGCUGAUGGUGUUAAGUCUUGCUGAGUUACGAAAAUCACAAAAAUAUUCGAAAAUGUCAAUAAUAUUCGUAGUCCAAAUUGGGCGAUGAAGCGUUUUAAACGUCCCUAGUGCGAGAAUUAAACAGAAUGAAAGAAACCGUCAUGUAAAACACCACAAUGCUGCAUAGAACGAUGGCGACAGACCUGGCGCCUUACCACAUCAACCUGAGCUCUGUACUUUUCUUUCAUCAAUGCGACGCUCACAAACUCACUUGGCGCCACAUGACCACGCUGCUGUGGUGCAAAUAUCGGUUAAUCAAUCAAAUAAUAGACUCAUACACAUGUCCUCCCACCGCCUCAAGGAAGGUAACUCAAACAGGUGCACAAGAACGAUUUAACGUCAACAACAAUCAACUUUAAAUGGAUGGAAAUACUUGGACUGCUGAUGGCAGGGAUGCGGGUGCCAGCAGGGGCGCGCGGGGCACAGUGCCGGGAGAGGGUCGUCCUGCUGGCCCGACCCGACAAGAGUCAGACUGGCUAGUGCCAUCUCAAACCCGACAGGAGCAACACGUACGCCGCUUCGCUCCGCCGCGACAAGUCGCUCCGCACGCAAACUUUUUCAUUCCCAUGCUGGAGGCGAGGCGGCCACUUCGCCUCCUUACCGCCCAACCUGACGCCCCGACGCUCAUCGCCUGCUGCUGAAGAUGACUGAUUACCUGAACAUUUGAAUCCUUUGAGAUGUAUCGCGUGCCGUACGAGGUGCUGUGGUGCCAGUGCCAGGGCAACGCCAGCGCCAUCCCCCACCAGCAACUCAUGCACGAGCAAGUGUCGCGGAUGCACGAGGUGGCGCAGCAGCACGCCGUGUGGUACGUGGGCGUGGUGCUCGCUCUCUACUUCAUCGGCCUGGUGCUCAUCAUCACCAAGUCCGGCAGGUCAGAGAGACACACCGCCAUGUCCGCCCUGUCCUUCUGCUGCUCUCAGGCGGUGUCCUCCAUAGCACGCCGUAGGGCACGCACGUGAAGCUGCCGGGAGGGCCAGGCUUGCUCCCCUGUGGUCCUGCGACACUGUUGGGCGGCGAUGGGCAGGAGGGACGCUGGUGGUCUGUUUUCAGCCUGUUUGGCGCGUGAAGCCACACCACUCUGGCUUCACUCCUUCCUCUGUGCCUCGCUGGCGAAAGUGACAAACAACUUUUUAUUCUCUUCUACUCAGUAACUUUUCCCGGUGAAGGUGUUCACGUUUUACGCAUCGUUUCCCUCUCAGCUUUCUUUUGACUUUGCAUUUCCAUCGAGUCUGUAUCACUAUUACCUUAUAGGCAACUUUUUAUAUUUCUAUGAAAACCCAAACUUUUUUUCCUUCUGUCCCAGUGAUGACGUCAAUCAAUAGUCAAUCCAUUCCACUUCCUUUCUCUUCACUUUAUUUUCAGUUUUCUCUUUCGGGGUCCUCACCUCACUCAUCAUCCCAGCUCUGUCCUGGCGUGCCCCGAGGGAGGCGCCCCCACAAUUCCUGGCGCGCGCACACGCACACACACACACACACACACACACACACACACACACACAGGCGCGCGUCGCAGUGUCCUGAUGGCGUGAUUCACACACUCCACGUCCCGCGGGCUGCACUGACGCCCGUCUUUGCCCAGAGGAAGUCUUUGUAUUUUUAAGGAAUCAGAUUGUAUAUUGUGCGACUUUCUUAUUGUUGUGAAUUCCUCGGUAGCGACAAGGACUCGCAUACCGACAUAUGUGUCUAUAUAUAUUUUUCUGCCGUGACAACUGGAGGAUAUAAAGCUUUCAUAUUUCG
Molecule: long non-coding RNA, 1820 nt
Organism: Scylla paramamosain (green mud crab)
Lineage: Eukaryota; Metazoa; Arthropoda; Malacostraca; Decapoda; Portunidae
Exons: 3
Source: RefSeq, a predicted model, not a curated record